This 426-nucleotide ribosomal RNA is filed under the name uncultured bacterium. RNAcentral describes it as "bacterial SSU rRNA". It matches the Rfam family "Bacterial small subunit ribosomal RNA", at positions 354 to 796 of the family's 1533-position model. The record is from RNAcentral.
GUAGGGAAUCUUGGACAAUGGGGGAAACCCUGAUCCAGCCAUGCCGCGUGAGUGAUGAAGGCCUUCGGGUUGUAAAACUCUUUCGCACGCGACGAUAAUGACGGUAGCGUGAGAAGAAGCUCCGGCUAACUUCGUGCCAGCAGCCGCGGUAAUACGAAGGGGGCUAGCGUUGUUCGGAUUUACUGGGCGUAAAGCGCGCGCAGGCGGCUUUGCAAGUCAGGGGUGAAAUCCCAGAGCUCAACUCUGGAAUUGCCUUUGAGACUGCUUGGCUUCGAGUACGGGAGAGGUGAGUGGAAUUCCCAGUGUAGAGGUGAAAUUCGUAGAUAUUGGGAAGAACACCGGUGGCGAAGGCGGCUCACUGGCCCGUUACUGACGCUCAGGCGCGACAGCGUGGGGAUCAAACAGGAUUAGAUACCCGGGUAGUCC